CGGGGUGCACCAGGCGCGAAAACUUUACAAUGCUGGCAACAGCGAUAAGGGGACCUCGAGUGCCAGGUUACAAAUCUGGCUGUCGUGAUGCCUAAAAAGCAUUGCAUAGCAAGGGCCGGGCAAGACCGGUGCCAGCCGCCGCGGUAACACCGGCGGCUCGAGUGGUAACCGUUAUUAUUGGGUCUAAAGGGUCUGUAGCCGGCCGGAUAAGUCUCUUGGGAAAUCCAGCAGCUCAACUGUUGGGCUUUCAGGAGAUACUGUCUGGCUCGAGGCCGGGAGAGGUGAGAGGUACUUCAGGGGUAGGGGUGAAAUCUUGUAAUCCUUGAAGGACCACCAGUGGCGAAGGCGUCUCACCAGAACGGACCUGACGGCAAGGGACGAAAGCUAGGGGCACGAACCGGAUUAGAUACCCGGGUAGUCCUAGCCGUAAACGAUACUCGCUAGGUGUCGACCACGGUGCGACCGUUGUCGGUGCCGUAGGGAAGCCGUGAAGCGAGCCACCUGGGAAGUACGGCCGCAAGGCUGAAACUUAAAGGAAUUGGCG
Molecule: ribosomal RNA, 544 nt
Filed under: uncultured archaeon
Lineage: Archaea
Description: bacterial SSU rRNA
Rfam family: Archaeal small subunit ribosomal RNA
Source: RNAcentral